UUGUGGGGGCUGGCAGGUCUGCUGGGAGGUUUUCCAUCUUGGAAGGGGAGGGAGUCUAGAAAUACCUUGGUCCAGGGGAGGAAAGGUUGGAAAAGCACAGUCCCUGGGCUGAGGUAACAGGCUAGUAGGCUUUCUCACCCCUGGGGCUGCAUUCCAAACGUGUACAGACAUUCAUUAGAUUGGACUAACUCAUUCCUCAUUCCAGGUGAACUAAUUUAGAUCGGGCCAGCCAUAUUUUGUCUGAUCUAACCUUGCUGAAUGUACAGGUCGGCACUUAGAUUGACUUAACCCUACUUAGGUAGGGUUCAAUCUAAGUGUAAUGUCUGCAUGUACCCGUUAAGGAUGUAGAUUUCACUGGGUGCAGAGCGACCUAUGAGUUACAGCACUUCACUCUCAAGUAAUCUGUUUACCUGUGAUCUUGCUCAGUUUCAUUGUUCUGGAUAUGAAGAUUGAGUCAGAUUACUUUUUCCUAACUGCAGACCAGGGACUUCCAUCUUCUCUCUGUUUAAUUAAUACUAAUUUCUUGACAGUAUGACAUUGCAUGUAAAUUUUAGAAUACAUAACAAAUAUUGUUCUUAAACCAGAACAAUUCCAAAAUGAGCCCCUCCAGAAAGAGGGCAUGCAAUGUCUACAGUGCGUUUGCUGGAAACAACCAUGGGUAGGAUUUGAACCUUCAGUGCACAGGCUUGGUGACCACAAAAUCUGGAACUGGCAAGUUAUGACAACAGACUACUCAAAAGCAGUCUGGCUUUAAGGAAACUUUGUCUUGCUGUGCAUCUUUGGUUUUUAGGUGCUUAGGCAUAGCCCAUGCUGAUCAGGCAUUAUUAACUUUACCCAUAAUAACUCAUUUCAGUAUUCAGCAGAGGGGCAGCAGGUGCUGAGUUGAAUUCCUAAUGCCUGGGAUUUAGCAUGGGGAGAAUUAGAGACAGAAUUUGAGUCCCCAGGUGUGUGCAAAAGGACUCAAUAAAACCAAAAUAAUAAUAAUAAAACAGUGUGGAGAACCAGGUGAUUUUGUAAAUGGCUAAUGUCUGACAGAGCCCCCUUUGCCCAAAUGAUCCCAAAUUCCAGUCACUAAAUUUAUCCUGCACUCAUAUAAUGCACAGCCUGUUUUAAGGUAAGCUGAAUCUUAUGUGGAUUUUAGACUACUUGCAGGUUUAGCUUCACAAAAAAAAUGCUUUAUAGCAGCCUUUACUACAAUAAGUAGUAAAAAAGAUGUAAUAAGUUGGGAAGAAGGUAGCAAGGGAAUCCUCUUGGAGGUGAUGGGUUUGGAUCACCUGCAUGGAAACUUUAAUUAAGUGCCUUCUCUCUUGUUUAAACCUUCCUUCACAACACCUGUCUUGGUUAAUCAUUAUAAUAUUGCCUCCCUGCAUUCUUCUAUGUGGGUUGUUGUCCUGUGACGUGCAUGGGGUCUAAGCUAAGCAGAAAAGACUUUUAGUCGCUUUUGGAAGACACUUAAUGAGUAUCACCAUGAAUAUGAUAUGGAGGGAAGUACAACCCACUGCUGUAGUUGCUUCCUAAGGGAAAUGGAUUAACAAACCAUAGGAGUCAAAGCCUGCAGCUGCUGAUAAUUCUGCUAUAGUCCCAAAGUCAGUGCCAGAGGCAGGACUCAACGUGUGGCCAGAAUGAGGAUGAGGCAAAGCUGGGAAGGAGCAGCAAGAGUGACAUGCCUCAGUGGGGUUUUAUCAGGGCUAAGGCCAGUAGUGAGGCUGUGAGCCUGGUGAGAUGCUGAUGAAGAACCUCUGUGUGGAGAAGGAAACCGCAUUCUCUUGUAGCCGUUCUCAACUAAUAAAUAAGAGCUUCCAAGCAA
Molecule: long non-coding RNA, 1807 nt
Organism: Alligator mississippiensis (American alligator)
Lineage: Eukaryota; Metazoa; Chordata; Crocodylia; Alligatoridae
Exons: 3
Source: RefSeq, a predicted model, not a curated record